Molecule: non-coding RNA, 113 nt
Filed under: Paramoeba aestuarina
Lineage: Eukaryota; Discosea; Flabellinia; Dactylopodida; Paramoebidae
Source: RNAcentral
GAGUAAAACCAAAGGGAAUUGAUAUCGAAAUCAACUCAAGAGGAACAUUAUCGUCAAUCUUAACUUUCUCCUUUUCCUCUUCUUUUUUAUUAUUUUUCUCAUUCUCUCGUCCA